ACGAACGCUGGCGGCGUGCCUAAUACAUGCAAGUAGAACGCUGAAGAGAGGAGCUUGCUCUUCUUGGAUGAGUUGCGAACGGGUGAGUAACGCGUAGGUAACCUGCCUUGUAGCGGGGGAUAACUAUUGGAAACGAUAGCUAAUACCGCAUAACAAUGGAUGACACAUGUCAUUUAUUUGAAAGGGGCAAUUGUUCCACUACAAGAUGGACCUGCGUUGUAUUAGCUAGUAGGUGAGGUAAUGGCUCACCUAGGCGACGAUACAUAGCCGACCUGAGAGGGUGAUCGGCCACACUGGGACUGAGACACGGCCCAGACUCCUACGGGAGGCAGCAGUAGGGAAUCUUCGGCAAUGGGGGCAACCCUGACCGAGCAACGCCGCGUGAGUGAAGAAGGUUUUCGGAUCGUAAAGCUCUGUUGUAAGUCAAGAACGGGUGUGAGAGUGGAAAGUUCACACUGUGACGGUAGCUUACCAGAAAGGGACGGCUAACUACGUGCCAGCAGCCGCGGUAAUACGUAGGUCCCGAGCGUUGUCCGGAUUUAUUGGGCGUAAAGCGAGCGCAGGCGGUUUGAUAAGUCUGAAGUUAAAGGCUGUGGCUCAACCAUAGUUCGCUUUGGAAACUGUCAAACUUGAGUGCAGAAGGGGAGAGUGGAAUUCCAUGUGUAGCGGUGAAAUGCGUAGAUAUAUGGAGGAACACCGGUGGCGAAAGCGGCUCUCUGGUCUGUAACUGACGCUGAGGCUCGAAAGCGUGGGGAGCGAACAGGAUUAGAUACCCUGGUAGUCCACGCCGUAAACGAUGAGUGCUAGGUGUUGGAUCCUUUCCGGGAUUCAGUGCCGCAGCUAACGCAUUAAGCACUCCGCCUGGGGAGUACGACCGCAAGGUUGAAACUCAAAGGAAUUGACGGGGGCCCGCACAAGCGGUGGAGCAUGUGGUUUAAUUCGAAGCAACGCGAAGAACCUUACCAGGUCUUGACAUCCCGAUGCUAUUUCUAGAGAUAGAAAGUUACUUCGGUACAUCGGUGACAGGUGGUGCAUGGUUGUCGUCAGCUCGUGUCGUGAGAUGUUGGGUUAAGUCCCGCAACGAGCGCAACCCCUAUUGUUAGUUGCCAUCAUUCAGUUGGGCACUCUAGCGAGACUGCCGGUAAUAAACCGGAGGAAGGUGGGGAUGAUGUCAAAUCAUCAUGCCCCUUAUGACCUGGGCUACACACGUGCUACAAUGGUUGGUACAACGAGUUGCGAGUCGGUGACGGCGAGCUAAUCUCUUAAAGCCAAUCUCAGUUCGGAUUGUAGGCUGCAACUCGCCUACAUGAAGUCGGAAUCGCUAGUAAUCGCGGAUCAGCACGCCGCGGUGAAUACGUUCCCGGGCCUUGUACACACCGCCCGUCACACCACGAGAGUUUGUAACACCCGAAGUCGGUGAGGUAACCUUUUGGAGCCAGCCGCCUAAGGUGGGACAGAUGAUUGGGGUGA
RNAcentral lists this ribosomal RNA (1470 nucleotides) under uncultured organism. RNAcentral describes it as "SSU rRNA". It matches the Rfam family "Bacterial small subunit ribosomal RNA". The record is from RNAcentral.